This 6144-nucleotide long non-coding RNA is filed under the name Arabidopsis thaliana (thale cress). RNAcentral describes it as "potential natural antisense gene, locus overlaps with AT1G44120 (AT1G44125)". The record is from RNAcentral. Lineage: Eukaryota; Viridiplantae; Streptophyta; Magnoliopsida; Brassicales; Brassicaceae.
ACAAUUGUCGAUGAUUAAUCUGCAAAACGCAUUUGAACGUUUCAGAUUAUCACCGCGUUUAAUCGCCACCGUGAGACUUCCCGGCAAACAAUUCAAGAGACUGUUACCUCUCUCAUGGAAGCUCGAUGGAGCUGGAGAUUUCAAUUUUGAUUUCAUCAUCAAUUGCAGAACCGGAAUCGCAUCCGCCGCUAAAACAGCUUGAGAUCUAGCCGUCUCCGUCGGCAUUGUUGUCCACGAUUGUCGCAACGUGUAGAUCGUGUCCAUCGCCGAAUCUCUCGCUUCUUGCUCGCCGGAUUUCAAAGCUCCGAUUAAGUGAGGGAUACAAGCGGUAGCUGCUUCCGACGAACGGAGUUUUGGAAACGUUGUGAGAAUCGUGUUUAGCGUUCUCACUAUUUCUACGUUUAUCGCCGUCGUUGUCCAAAACUCUCUCUCCAUCGCAUCUGCAUUGAAAUCAAGACGUAUUCUUGAAGUGUAUGAUUAGAGAAGAGAGAUUUGAUAAUUAGAGCUGCUUGUGUAGAAACUUGUGGAUUACUAGAUCUAAGCAUUUCCUGAACCCAAUAUACUCCACCAGCUUCAGCCAUAGCUUUACGACUUGUUCUACUAUGCAUUGCAAAGUUUUCCAAAGCACGCAUCACAACCAUUUGCAUUUCCUCGCUCGGUUCAUCUUCAAGCAAGCUGAUUAACGCACGACAUGCCACGGGCGAGUCCGUGGCUUUAGCGAGUCCUUCGUGUUGAGAGAUGUCACCUAGAGCCAUUGCUAUGAGAAUUUUUGCGGAUUCUGAUAUUGUGUCUGGGUCUAGUAUGUACUCUGAUAGAGGGGUAAGUACAAACUGACAUAUCUUUGUCUCUCUAACCUUUGGAUUGCGUAGUAUUAAUUCGAGUAAUCUUGCUGAGAGUUCUUCGCAGUGGUGUGAUCUUAGUAGAUCUAGUAAUGCGUCGAGUGCACUGGAUUCUGCCAUUUCUUGAACGCUUGACGAGUCUUGAUUCUCACGGAUGAUCAAUGCGUCGAUGGCUAAGAUCACUGUGCUUUCAGCUGUGGAGAACAACAUUUUUGACAGAACUGGUAUAGUCACCGUAAAGUAAUAGUGUUCUGGGUUGAUUCUGAGAAUGUUGCAGAGAAUGAAAGCUGCUGAUUCCCAUAGAUAUACAGGAAGCUGAGGAUCUUCGUCGAUGAUAACCUUGGAGAGCUCUUGAAUUCCUCCGGUAUCUGCUACCUCUUUUGGCCAUGUAACUGAAGAUCUCUCUAAACCCAUCAAUGCUAUCUCUUGUAAGUUUCUUACUCUGAUCCCUACCAGUUUCACUAGAGGAGCAAUGAGAUUUUUGGUUGUUAUCUCUUCUUGGAAACGUUGCAUUUCGAGUAGAGAGGUCAGUAGUAUUGUGGUUGCAUUUUUGACCGCUAUUGACUCGGACUCAAGCAGUGGUAUCAAAGGCAUAAUGAUUGUGGAAGAUGCAAUUUUCAAUGAUUCAAGAACCAUUGGCUUCUCCAAGAUGUUUGCUAUAGCUUGUAAACCACCGAGUUGACCUUGAAAAUCCAAGUCUUGUCUAAGCAAAAUCAAAAGGAGCGGUUGUACCAUUUUUAUAGCGUCUUGGCUUCGAGCUAUAACACCAACGUUCGUCAAAACUCUGAAAAGAUCUGCGAUUACAGAACACAAAGAACUUGGCGGCGAUUUGGAGAGUUGGCUAAUACAUUUCUCGAUUAUCCCCAUUUUAAUCAGAUCCAUUUUCCGGGGAGUAUUGUCUUUAGCCAUUUUCGUAAGACAAGAAAUUGCAGCCUCACUGAUCAGAUAGUUUUCGGAAGCCACAUAUCCGUAGAACAGGUUCACACAAUCAUGUUCUUCUGCAACCUCUACAAAUCUUUUGAUAUCCAAGAGUCUGUCUAGUGCAAACAUUCCGGCUUCUAUAGCUGUACUUUUUCCUGUUCGGAUAAGUGAUAUAAGGGAUACAAUGCAACAUGCGGCAGAUGUGCUUGUUCUCAAACCUUCAUUGGUAAAUAGAAAGCGGCAUAUCCUUGCAGCACUUGUCUUUGAUUCAAGCGAAGAACUAUCUAAAGACAAAAUUUUGUAGAUGUUGUCCAAUGGGUUUCCUUCAAGACUAGUAAGAAUAUCUGGCCUUGGAUUUAUUCCCAUAGUUAGCUUCACUAAAGCUGUUAGAGCAGCUACUCUCUCACUCUCUAACGUUGUAUUCAACAUUUCAAUAAGAGGAGAAAGUGCUUUCCAUGCUAAUUCAGAAUCUCUGAUGUGCUCAGAGCUAAACAGUUCACAGAGGACCCUUGCAGCAUUGUAGCGAGUACUUCUAGAAGCAAGAUGAAGAAUUCCUAUGAGCUGCUUCAUGGAACUUAUAGCUGUUUUAUGUCGUGUGAUUUCCGGGCUGCGAAAGAGUGAUUCUAACAGUUCAGAAACGGUAAUCUCUGUUGAAUCUUGAGGGCUCAAAGAAAGGUACUUUGCUAAAGCAUCUAGAGCUCCAGCUUCAGCGAUAAGUAAUUUACUUAAAUCGUCAUUGUCUGCAAUACGACGAAGAAGUCGAAUAGCCACUGGAAUGCCUCCAACUUUAUCUGCAUAUGGCUUCAAGAGAUUCACGAGCAAGGGAAUACAUUUUUUGUAAAAUAUCCAUCAAUCAUCUGCUCAGAUUGCAUGAAAGGUGCUAGCGUUUGCAAAAUAUUUUCUGUUGCUGGAGAUGAGACAACCUUUGGUUCCUGAGACAUAACAGCUAAAAAUGACAUAGCGAUCCAUUUUUCCUCGGAAUCAGAGGAAUUCUCCUACAAAAAUUAAAGAUAAUAAGUCAGCAAAACCAACACUUGCAGGAUUUAGAAGAAAAAGCUAAAGAGAGCAAGUAAGUAUACUUAUUUACCUGUGUGUUAGACUUGUUUCUUUGAAGAUUUUCUGCAAUAAUUUCAAGUCCAUUGCCUUCCAUGACAACAAGUCUGUUCGAAGGAUGAGAAGAGCAAAUAAUGGAGAGUAACCACAUAGAGGCGGUGCUUCCCAAGAUAGUAACUGGAUCAACCAUUUCAGAGUCAUCCAUCCUUAAGCACAAAUUGCUUGUAAUAAAAGAUCUUGGUCUUUGAAUUUCAAUUCCAUAUGAAGCAGAUUUAGAGUUCUGCUUUGACAUAUCAAGAAGAGUGUUUACUAAGGUUUUCAAAUACCCUGAUUGUUCAACCGCUUCCGCCCAUAAUGUAAUGUCGUUCUUUGCUGCGCACACAAGCAAGAUCGCUCCUCCAACUUUGAUUUCAGGACUUGAUGAGUUGAUUGUUCUGUUAGCCAAUGAAGAAAUUGAUUUUGAUUGUGUCACCAAAAGUCGACCUAACAAGAUAAAUUGUGUCUUGCAGAAACGAGACAAAAUCUCUAUUGCUUUAUCUUGCACCAAAGGAUGACCUUCAGCUAAACCGCGGACAAGAGAGUCUAAAUUUGAAGGAACUUCACCGAAUGCAGAAAAAGGGUUAUGUGACAAGUUAGCACCAUAUUUAGCUUUGGCUAGUAAAGAGAGUACUUCUAAGACGUCGAUGAAAGCGCUGUUGUUCAGUGUUCCCUCUCUCAGUACUCUGGUCAAAGCAGAAACAACGUCAUCGUUUAAUGCUUCAGCUGCAACAUUUGGGUCUGAAAGAAGGUUCGCAAGAGUGGACAUGGGAUUCUCUGUUGACUCGAUGGGGUUUGUUUUUGCUGACUUUAUCAAUGGUUUGAUCACUUCGACUUCUGGACCGGAUAAUUUCUUUGUUGCAGUUUUUUUCUUUGUUGGAUUAGAUAGAGAGCCCAAGGCAUGCGCUAACUGCGUUGCAACAGCGUGAGUGUUUCCGCUUAAAAGCUUUGUGCACGGAUUGUCAUCCUCAUCAAAUCCAAGACCACCACAAAGGUCUUUUCUUGAACUGAAUAGAUCAGCCAAGACAGAAGCUGCGUUCUCUUUCAUCUUCUCGUUUGAUGAGGCAAGUCUCUGGACAAGCGACCUCAAUCCAUUAUUCGCUGCGGAACCCUUGGUGACAAAUUCUUCCAAAGAAGCCGAUGCAAGAACAUGGCCUAGAACUCUAAUCAAAUGAGUCUUUGAUUUAGGAGCAUCUCCAAGAAACAAAGCCUGUACUUGCUCGAUAACACUUGGAUCAGCUGUUUUAAUCAGUUUCAAAAGCGUAUUUGCUGAGCUCUCUUGUGAUUUUGGUCCACCGUUCUUUAAAAGACCCAAAAGUGCAGGAAUAGCUCCUGCUUUCUCAACGCAGAGGCGGAUUUCUUCGCUGUGACAACAUAGGUUCAAAAUUACACGGACCGCAUCGUCCUUUGCUUUCUGAGAUACACCAGUCUCUAAUAUCUGCAAUAAUGGAGGAAUCCCACCUGCAGAAGUAACAGCCCAUCUACUUUCUUCGACAUUAUCGGUCAAGAUCGCUAAGAACUCAACAGACAGUUCUUGAUGUUGUUCGCUAGACAAACCAAGGUACGGUAUGAGGAUUUGUAUCCCUUCUCUCUUCCCAAUAGCAUCCCAAACAUCACCAUGCUUGCAUAAAUUUGACAAACAAGUAAUCAUCCGCUCACGUGGACCGUCCGUGGCCAAUAUUGUUAGACAGACUAAAACCCUCUUAGCGUCAACAUUGUUGAGUAGUUUUGAUAGAUCAACAUUUCCGAAUAGACUUUCCAUAGCCUCCAAGAUACGUUCGUGGAUCAAUUGAGUAUCCCGGGGCUUUAGUAGUUUCACUAGUAUUCCUUCUGUUAGUGUUGGAUCAAAAGCUUCUCUAGUAUCACCGCAACUUAGCUGAAAUUUUCUCAGAGCAUAAGCAAGAGCUCCAAGAAUAUCAGCGAUGGGCUCAGUGAGGCGUGGAGACAAAGAUAGCCCUCCAAGAUACACUAUCAAACCAGACAUUCCUCCGCAUAAGUUUGCUAAAGCUUGUGUCCCAUAACUUUGUAAGACGCGUUCAGUUUCCUCCUCCACUGACUCUUUAGAAGAUGCAACCACUGCGCUAAUAAGAAGGUGGAUCCCAUCUAAAUCUCUUGCCACAGUUAUAGCUUCUUCUGACUUUGAUGUGAUGGCUUCUAGAGCGUUGACUACACUGGCACGUACGAAAACACUAUUUUCUUCACCUAGAAGCUGAACCAGAACUUGCACAGCACCUGACUCUUCAACUUUUGAGAUACUGCUGGUAAAAAUCCUGAUAAGACGAGCUAAGAGAGAAGCUGCGUUUGAUUGAGAUACCGGGUUACUAGACUGGAGAAGCUUUAAGAUGAUAUCUACUCCGCCAUCUUCAAGUGUUAAUGCCCAAAACCCGUCUUUAUCACCGCAAAGAUUUCUCAAAGCUCCAACCAAAUGUCCUUCCACUGUCUUGUCCUGUUUUUUCCCCGUCUUUAAUUGAUCCCACAAACUCGGUACCACGCCUUCCGUGACAAAUAUUUUAGUACCUACAUUAUCACCAUCCAUUCCACACAAGGAAACUUCAUAUAUGGCCUCGGCUACAACUCUUUUUGCAUCCACAGAGUCAGACUUCAAAAGUGAUAGCAGCGGUGGGAUACAUCCGCCUAUCAGUAUCUUAGAACGAACGUUUUUGUCUUUGCAUAGAACGGUUAGGACUGAAGCGGAAUUGAGUUUUGCCAAGAGGGUUCCACUCCUAAGAAGUGAUAUAAAGGCAGGCAUGGCGUUCACAUUCUGGCUAAUGAUCUUUCUACAUUCCUUUUUACCCUUGGCUAAACCAAGAAGCCGAGCGGUGCUAAGCUCUUUCUCUUGCGCCGAUGAUUUCUUGGCAUGAAGCUGUUCGAUGAGACGUGUGAUUGUAACCGCUGCUUUCUCUGGAUCAUCCAUCUCAGACGUCAUUGUUUUAUUAUCGUCCCUGCACCCAAAAGCCCUCAAUUAUACAAAGAUAAAGAUAGCAAAGCAAAUAGUCAAAAAGUAUUGAAAGCAAUUCGAUACCUCAGCCGAGGAGAAGACACGGAAGGAGUCUCUUGGUCAUUCGUUGAGGAGGGAGGCAUUGACAUAUUCUCUUUUCUGAAGAAACUCCUUUAGAAAACAGAAACAAAAACAUUUAGCUAAAUGGAUUCAACAACAAAUCAAACUAAAGAUAGAAUCCUCUUGAUUUUGUAUUAUUGUCAUUUGGUGAUUAAGAGAUUUUUUUCCUGCCACAAUCAAAUGCACAAUUCAUUUACAAAAUUACCUUUUAUGCAAACGUUCUAUUACUCCUUUUUA